This 405-nucleotide ribosomal RNA is filed under the name uncultured eukaryote. RNAcentral's name for it is "SSU rRNA". It matches the Rfam family "Eukaryotic small subunit ribosomal RNA", at positions 587 to 972 of the family's 1831-position model. The record is from RNAcentral.
AGCUCCAAUAGCGUAUAUUAAAGUUGUUGCAGUUAAAAAGCUCGUAGUCUGAAUCUUGGUCUGGUGUUGAGCGUCCGUUGGACUCUUUACGGGGUCUACGUGCAUGCGAUAUUUACACUGACCGAUUUUUGUACUUCGGAGGAACUUGGGUGCUUUUCACUAAGUGUCCAAGGAAUUCCGAUAGUUUACUUUGAGAAAAAUAGAGUGUUCAAAGCAGGCGUUUUUGCCUUGAAUACAUUAGCAUGGGAUAAUGGAAUAGGACAUUGGUUCUAUUUUGUUGGUUUACGGACCGAUGUAAUGAUUAAUAGGAACAGUUGGGGACAUUUGAAUUCCGCGGCUAGAGGUGAAAUUCUUGGAUUCGUGGAAGUCAAACUACUGCGAAAGCAUUUGUCAAAGAUGUUUUCA